Molecule: ribosomal RNA, 1238 nt
Filed under: Lactobacillus acidophilus
Lineage: Bacteria; Bacillati; Bacillota; Bacilli; Lactobacillales; Lactobacillaceae
Description: bacterial SSU rRNA
Rfam family: Bacterial small subunit ribosomal RNA
Source: RNAcentral
CUGUUCGCUAUGGGAUGGCCCCGCGGUGCAUUAGCUAGUUGGUAGGGUAACGGCCUACCAAGGCAAUGAUGCAUAGCCGAGUUGAGAGAACUGAUCGGCCCACAUUGGGACUGAGACACGGCCCAAACUCCUACGGGAGGCAGCAGUAGGGAAUCUUCCACAAUGGACGAAAGUCUGAUGGAGCAACGCCGCGUGAGUGAAGAAGGUUUUCGGAUCGUAAAGCUCUGUUGUUGGUGAAGAAGGAUAGAGGUAGUAACUGGCCUUUAUUUGACGGUAAUCAACCAGAAAGUCACGGCUAACUACGUGCCAGCAGCGCGGUAAUACGUAGGUGGCAGCGUGUCCGGAUUUAUUGGGCGUAAAGCGAGCGCAGGCGGAAGAAUAAGUCUGAUGUGAAAGCCCUCGGCUUAACCGAGGAACUGCAUCGGAAACUGUUUUUCUUGAGUGCAGAAGAGGAGAGUGGAACUCCAUGUGUAGCGGUGGAAUGCGUAGAUAUAUGGAAGAACACCAGUGGCGAAGGCGGCUCUCUGGUCUGCAACUGACGCUGAGGCUCGAAAGCAUGGGUAGCGAACAGGAUUAGAUACCCUGGUAGUCCAUGCCGUAAACGAUGAGUGCUAAGUGUUGGGAGGUUUCCGCCUCUCAGUGCUGCAGCUAACGCAUUAAGCACUCCGCCUGGGGAGUACGACCGCAAGGUUGAAACUCAAAGGAAUUGACGGGGGCCCGCACAAGCGGUGGAGCAUGUGGUUUAAUUCGAAGCAACGCGAAGAACCUUACCAGGUCUUGACAUCUAGUGCAAUCCGUAGAGAUACGGAGUUCCCUUCGGGGACACUAAGACAGGUGGUGCAUGGCUGUCGUCAGCUCGUGUCGUGAGAUGUUGGGUUAAGUCCCGCAACGAGCGCAACCCUUGUCAUUAGUUGCCAGCAUUAAGUUGGGCACUCUAAUGAGACUGCCGGUGACAAACCGGAGGAAGGUGGGGAUGACGUCAAGUCAUCAUGCCCCUUAUGACCUGGGCUACACACGUGCUACAAUGGACAGUACAACGAGGAGCAAGCCUGCGAAGGCAAGCGAAUCUCUUAAAGCUGUUCUCAGUUCGGACUGCAGUCUGCAACUCGACUGCACGAAGCUGGAAUCGCUAGUAAUCGCGGAUCAGCACGCCGCGGUGAAUACGUUCCCGGGCCUUGUACACACCGCCCGUCACACCAUGGGAGUCUGCAAUGCCCAAAGCCGGUGGCCUUAACCUU